Lynx canadensis (Canada lynx) is the source of this 781-nucleotide long non-coding RNA. RefSeq lists it as uncharacterized. The record is from RefSeq and is a predicted model, not a curated record. Lineage: Eukaryota; Metazoa; Chordata; Mammalia; Carnivora; Felidae. The transcript is spliced from 3 exons.
CUUGAUGAACGGCUGAAUGGGUAGAGAAAGGGAGGCAGGGGCCAGGAGGAGAAGGGGUUCGCCAACUCUGACUCCAGACCCAAAGUGAAUAUCGGACACGAAAGGAAAGGAAAUAGGUUUGGGUUGAAAAGGGUGGGGAAGGGAGAUGGCCCCACCAGCAGACAGUCAAAAGCAAACCUAUCCAUUGUUCUUAAAGCCAUCAGUCAGCUUGACGGUGUCUCAUCAGCAGUGAGACACCAACAGUGUCUCACCCGCCUUCAUGUCCCUGGAAUAGUGGCUCAUCUCACCCCUGGGGCAGUGACAGCAUCUGCUCAUACGCAGGACCAAAGUUCAACCAAAGUACAGGGCACCAGGACUCCAAGCAGAGGUGUGACAUGAUGUGACUUACAUCCUAAGAGGAUUCUGCUGUGCUGACACUAAUGAAGACGAGGGUGGAAGAAGCAGGGAGACCAGUUAGGAGGCCAUCGCAGUGAUCCAGAUCUGAACACGGAUCCUCGCACAAAUGGUUUGAAAAAGAGACACCCGCAUCACUUCUCCAAUAUUUGGGCGCUAAAAACUUGCACUAUUGGGAGACCCUGAGCAUUCUAGUCAGCAGCCCCCAUGCUGUGCGGCUGCCCGAGCGUCUCCCGAAGAGGGUGGUGAGCAGGAGCUAUGAAGAUGGGUUCAGAAACUCCCCUGGAGAAGAAACCAUCUGAGCCACCCCUGUGCCACCAGCAAGAGGUGCUCUGGCCACGGCGGGAGGAGCUGCCUCCAAUUAAAAGUCCUUGGUUGCAUCACAGGA